AUUGAACGCUGGCGGCAGGCCUAACACAUGCCAGUCGAGCGGAUGAAGGGAGCUUGCUCCUGGAUUCAGCGGCGGACGGGUGAGUAAUGCCUAGGAAUCUGCCCGGUAGUGGGGGAUAACGUCCGGAAACGGGCGCUAAUACCGCAUACGUCCUGAGGGAGAAAGUGGGGGAUCUUCGGACCUCACGCUAUCAGAUGAGCCUAGGUCGGAUUAGCUAGUUGGUGGGGUAAAGGCCUACCAAGGCGACGAUCCGUAACUGGUCUGAGAGGAUGAUCAGUCACACUGGAACUGAGACACGGUCCAGACUCCUACGGGAGGCAGCAGUGGGGAAUAUUGGACAAUGGGCGAAAGCCUGAUCCAGCCAUGCCGCGUGUGUGGAGAAGGUCUUCGGAUUGUAAAGCACUUUAAGUUGGGAGGAAGGGCAGUAAGUUAAUACCUUGCUGUUUUGACGUUACCAACAGAAUAAGCACCGGCUAACUUCGUG
Molecule: ribosomal RNA, 484 nt
Filed under: uncultured bacterium
Lineage: Bacteria
Description: partial 16S ribosomal RNA
Rfam family: Bacterial small subunit ribosomal RNA
Source: RNAcentral